Non-coding RNA from Chlorocebus sabaeus (green monkey), 2149 nucleotides. The record is from RefSeq and is a predicted model, not a curated record. NCBI's taxonomy places the organism in Eukaryota, Metazoa, Chordata, Mammalia, Primates, Cercopithecidae.
ACAUGAUGUCUUCAUGAAAUGGUUUAAGUUAAAUAUGAUAAAUACCAAAAUAUUAGCUUAAUUCACAAGAUCAGUAGACUCAUCAAUUUGCAGCAAAUAAUAUCAACCUCCUCAGAAGUUGGAUAUUUGCUAUUCUAAGUUCCCAGCCACAUCUGUAAUUUUAAAAAGAACUGUGAUAUUUGACAAAGACACUUGCUUUGUUCCCAGUCAUCAUUUUCACUCUGUCUUUGGCAGCAGUUUUGGUAAGUGUGUGAACAAUGAAUUCAGCAGAUCUAACCUUUGCAAUUCAGUACAACCUUAUAAAAUGUGGUUUCCACAGCUUUUGUCUUUGGCCUGUUGUGUUUAGCUUUAGGUGAUGAUGAAAUGUCCUUCUAUUCUGCUUCAAAAUUUUUGAUGAUAUUUGAAGCAGGAAGAUUUUGUAUCAAAAUAUAUGAGCCUUUUCAUUUAUUCACUCACUCAUUCACUCAUUUAUUCAUUUACUCAUUCUGCAAAUGUUUAUUGAAUACUUACUCUGUAUCAGGAACUGUGCAAGUGAUACAUAUGUCACAUAAUGGAGUUUAAUUUUCUCUCAUUACCAGGUGAUAUGGUUUGGCUGUGUUCCCACCCAAAUCUCAUCUUGAAUUGUAACUCCAACAAUUCCCUCAUGUUGUGGGAGGAACCCACUAGAAGCAGGAAGCAAAGGACUCUGAAAUGGUGGAACACGAUGCAAGGAACCUGUAUCCUUGGGUUUCCCCUCAGAGGAAAACCACCCUGGACAGUUGCUCAUACAGGAACCAUCUCAUGGGACUUUGUGUGAGUGAAAAGUCAACCUUUGGUUGUGAAUUAAACUGAAGAACUUGCUGAAAACAUUUUGAUCAUAAUGAAGAGACUCUUGAAAUGCUUGAUUAAGUGCAUUCUAAAGAAUUUCCCCAACGUGGAUGGCAGUGGUGAGUGACUAAUUGUGUCUAUUUGGGUCUUCUAGGAAGCAGAUGCUAAUAAGGAGUUAGGAAUGCAGGAUGUUGAUUGUGGCUAAUACCGGUGAAAGAUAAAAGGGCAGAGAGCAAGACUGGGUAGGAAAGGCAUUCAAACUACGAUGCAUUAUCUGACACAUGUGAAAGGAUAAGGGGUGGAAACAGAAUUGGGCAGAGUUGCCUUAGAUUUUAAGGCUAAUAUGAGAAAGUCUUGGUCUCAACCCAGUGGGGAGUUCUGGAGGAAAGACUGCCUCUUUAAAGAGUCUCACAUUGGGCAGAAGUGGCUAGGCCCUAGAAGUGCCACCUUUCUUAGUUAUUGACUGGAGGCUGCCCAGGGAAAGCAUGGUUUUGUCAAGAAUACUGCAGCCAGUCUUGGAAGGUCCUGCAACCUGAGGCUGUAAGCUAACUUCACUGCUCAUAGUUCCAUGGCGAAGUCUUUCUUGAUAGGAACUCUGAGCUAUGCAGCUCCAUGCUUGCCACAGUCCAUCCUUGGUGUUGCCUGGAUUAACUUCAGAGUUCCUGUUCAGAAUUCCUGUGAACCUCAGAAGGUCUUCCUGAGGGAAGACUUAGAAGAGGAGGUUAGUGAGAAGAACUACAGCUCAUCUUGCUGCAGUUGGUCUCAGGGCUGCUACUAGGUUUCAUUUUCUUCCUUCUCUAUAACCCAUUCUAUAUUUGUACUGAUUUUCUGCCUGCUUAAUCUAUCCAUUGUUGACAGAGGGGUGUUGAAAUCUCCAAUGAUAAUAGUAGAUGUAUCUAGUUCUUCUUGCAGUUCUAUAAGUUUUUGUCUCAUUUAUUUUGAUGCUUUGUUGUUAGGUGCAUACACGUUUUAAGAUUGUAGUUUUCUUGAGACUUGACCCCCAUAAUGCCCCAUUUUAUUUUAUUUUUUUUUCAGAAUUGUAAAAUUUUAUUUUCCACACGUCCACAUUCUUAUUAAUACAGCUUGAUCGAAAAAAACUCUGACCAUAAGCAUGUUGAUUAUUUCCCUUUGGAACUGGUGAAGUCAGAAAAAUAAAAUAUUUAUUUUGAAUAUAUAGCAUCCAAAAUAUUCACUUAAUGUGGCCUUAUCUGUUUAUAUUCAAAGGCUUUCUUCCCUCAAAAUAAAGGUUCUAAGAUAAAUUCAAGAUUCCUUUGAAUGAAGAAAAGAAAACCGGCUGGGCACAGUGGCUGAGGCCUGUAAUCCCAGCACUUUGGGAGGCCAG